GUCCUUAGUUACCAGCACGUUAUGGUGGGCACUCUAAGGAGACUGCCGGUGACAAACCGAGGAAAGGUGGGGAUGACGUCAAGUCAUCAUGGCCCUUACGGCCUGGGCUACACACGUGCUACAAUGGUCGGUACAAAGGGGUUGCCAAGCCGCGAGGUGGAGCUAAUCCCAUAAAACCGAUCGUAGUCCGGAUCGCAGUCUGCAACUCGACUGCGUGAAGUCGGAAUCGCUAGUAAUCGUGAAUCAGAAUGUCACGGUGAAUACGUUCCCGGGCCUU
Molecule: ribosomal RNA, 277 nt
Filed under: uncultured Pseudomonas sp.
Lineage: Bacteria; Pseudomonadati; Pseudomonadota; Gammaproteobacteria; Pseudomonadales; Pseudomonadaceae
Description: partial 16S ribosomal RNA
Rfam family: Bacterial small subunit ribosomal RNA
Source: RNAcentral